This 301-nucleotide ribosomal RNA is filed under the name uncultured bacterium. RNAcentral's name for it is "partial 16S ribosomal RNA". It matches the Rfam family "Bacterial small subunit ribosomal RNA", at positions 509 to 807 of the family's 1533-position model. The record is from RNAcentral.
CAGCAGCCGCGGGAAUACGAAGGGGGCUAGCGUUGCUCGGAAUCACUGGGCGUAAAGGGUGCGUAGGCGGGUUUUUAAGUCAGGGGUGAAAUCCUGGAGCUCAACUCCAGAACUGCACUUGAUACUGGGAAUCUUGAGUAUGGGAGAGGUGAGUGGAACUGCGAGUGUAGAGGUGAAAUUCGUAGAUAUUCGCAAGAACACCAGUGGCGAAGGCGGCUCACUGGCCCAUAACUGACGCUGAGGCACGAAAGCGUGGGGAGUAAGCAGGAUUAGAUACCCCUGUAGUCCCUGUCUCUUAUAC